Molecule: ribosomal RNA, 468 nt
Filed under: uncultured bacterium
Lineage: Bacteria
Description: partial 16S ribosomal RNA
Rfam family: Bacterial small subunit ribosomal RNA
Source: RNAcentral
GACGAACGCUGGCGGCGUGCUUAACACAUGCAAGUCGAACGGAAAGGCCCUGCUUUUGUGGGGUGCUCGAGUGGCGAACGGGUGAGUAACACGUGAGUAACCUGCCCUUGACUUUGGGAUAACUUCAGGAAACUGGGGCUAAUACCGGAUAGGAGCUCCUGCUGCAUGGUGGGGGUUGGAAAGUUUCGGCGGUUGGGGAUGGACUCGCGGCUUAUCAGCUUGUUGGUGGGGUAGUGGCUUACCAAGGCUUUGAAGGGUAGCCGGCCUGAGAGGGUGACCGGCCACAUUGGGACUGAGAUACGGCCCAGACUCCUACGGGAGGCAGCAGUGGGGAAUAUUGCACAAUGGGCGGAAGCCUGAUGCAGCAACGCCGCGUGCGGGAUGACGGCCUUCGGGUUGUAAACCGCUUUCGCCUGUGACGAAGCGUGGGUGACGGUAAUGGGUAAAGAAGCACCGGCUAACUACGUG